GAGAUAGCUCAGCCGAUAAGAGUGUGAGAUUCUUAACCUCAAGGUCGUGAGUUCGAGCCCCACGUUGGACCA
Molecule: non-coding RNA, 72 nt
Organism: Podarcis lilfordi (Lilford's wall lizard)
Lineage: Eukaryota; Metazoa; Chordata; Lepidosauria; Squamata; Lacertidae
Source: the annotation of a GenBank genome assembly